Molecule: non-coding RNA, 74 nt
Organism: Aedes albopictus (Asian tiger mosquito)
Lineage: Eukaryota; Metazoa; Arthropoda; Insecta; Diptera; Culicidae
Source: Rfam
UGUUCUGUAGCUUAGUUGAUUAAAGCGCCGGACUAGCGAUAACGGAGUCGUGGGUUCGAAUCCCACCAAAACAA